This 274-nucleotide ribosomal RNA is filed under the name Clostridioides difficile. RNAcentral's name for it is "partial 23S ribosomal RNA". It matches the Rfam family "Bacterial large subunit ribosomal RNA", at positions 2205 to 2477 of the family's 2925-position model. The record is from RNAcentral. Lineage: Bacteria; Bacillati; Bacillota; Clostridia; Peptostreptococcales; Peptostreptococcaceae.
CUUGUAGUACUGGGACUCUAACCAUAGGCCAUGAAUCUGGUCUUGGGACACUGUCAGGUGGGCAGUUUGACUGGGGCGGUCGCCUCCCAAAAGGUAACGGAGGCGCUCAAAGGUUCUCUCAGUACGGUCGGAAAUCGUACGUAGAGGGUAAAGGCAAAAGAGAGCUUGAUUGCAAGACAUACAGGUCGAGCAAGGAUGAAAAUCGGACUUAGUGAUCCGGUGGUUCUGCGUGGAAGGGCCAUCGCUCAACGGAUAAAAGCUACCCUGGGGAUAA